UACAGAGGGUGCAAGCGUUGUUCGGAAUUAAUGGGCGUAAAUAGCUCGUAGGUGGUUCGGUAAGUCGGAUGUGAAAUCUCCAGGCUCAACCUGGAGGGGUCAUUCGAUACUGCCGUGACUAGAGUUCGGUAGGGGAGUGUGGAAUUCCUGGUGGAGCGGUGAAAUGCGCAGAUAUCAGGAGGAACACCCGUAGCGAAGGCGGCACUCUGGGCCGAUACUGACACUGAGGAGCGAAAGCGUGGGGAGCGAACAGG
This 254-nucleotide ribosomal RNA is filed under the name uncultured bacterium. Its description in RNAcentral is "partial 16S ribosomal RNA". It matches the Rfam family "Bacterial small subunit ribosomal RNA", at positions 524 to 776 of the family's 1533-position model. The record is from RNAcentral.